AGAGUUUGAUCCUGGCUCAGGAUGAACGCUGGCGGCGUGCCUAACACAUGCAAGUCGAACGAAGCACCUUUUAAGAUUCUUCGGAUGAUUGAUCGGUGACUGAGUGGCGGACGGGUGAGUAACGCGUGGGUAACCUGCCCUGUACAGGGGGAUAACAGUUGGAAACGGCUGCUAAUACCGCAUAAGCGCACGAGAGGACAUCCUCUUGUGUGAAAAACUCCGGUGGUACAGGAUGGGCCCGCGUCUGAUUAGCUGGUUGGCAGGGUAACGGCCUACCAAGGCGACGAUCAGUAGCCGGUCUGAGAGGAUGAACGGCCACAUUGGAACUGAGACACGGUCCAAACUCCUACGGGAGGCAGCAGUGGGGAAUAUUGCACAAUGGGGGAAACCCUGAUGCAGCAACGCCGCGUGAGUGAAGAAGUAUUUCGGUAUGUAAAGCUCUAUCAGCAGGGAAGAUAAUGACGGUACCUGACUAAGAAGCUCCGGCUAAAUACGUGCCAGCAGCCGCGGUAAUACGUAUGGAGCAAGCGUUAUCCGGAUUUACUGGGUGUAAAGGGUGCGUAGGUGGCAGUGCAAGUCAGAUGUGAAAGGCCGGGGCUCAACCUCGGAGCUGCAUUUGAAACUGCUCGGCUAGAGUACAGGAGAGGCAGGCGGAAUUCCUAGUGUAGCGGUGAAAUGCGUAGAUAUUAGGAGGAACACCAGUGGCGAAGGCGGCCUGCUGGACUGUUACUGACACUGAGGCACGAAAGCGUGGGGAGCAAACAGGAUUAGAUACCCUGGUAGUCCACGCUGUAAACGAUGA
Molecule: ribosomal RNA, 802 nt
Filed under: uncultured bacterium
Lineage: Bacteria
Description: bacterial SSU rRNA
Rfam family: Bacterial small subunit ribosomal RNA
Source: RNAcentral